This 499-nucleotide long non-coding RNA is filed under the name Ananas comosus (pineapple). RNAcentral describes it as "long non-coding RNA (ACOM_LNC018852)". Lineage: Eukaryota; Viridiplantae; Streptophyta; Magnoliopsida; Poales; Bromeliaceae. The record is from RNAcentral.
UAUUGGUUACCUGUGCGCGUAACUGUAAACAUAUUGAAUAGCAAACAUAUCCCUACAAAGUUUAACUUUUUAUUUUUAUCUCUACAAAAGUCCAGUAAUAUUCAUAUUUGCUCUACUGGUUUGUUAUCGUUAGAGUAUUGUUUAUUUUUUAACAGCAGUUAGGUGAAAUGAUAUUUUUAUCCUUAUAAAUAUAUUUCUUCAAAAGUUCAAAUUAUUAAAAUUAUACAAAAAUAUCCUCCAAAAAAAUAUUUUAUUUAAUAAUAUAAGAAAACGUAAAAAGAUUAAUUUAACUCAUUUUCUAAUCAGAAUUAAAUAUUUUACUCAUGAUUAACUAUUUUUUUCUAACGGAUCCUAAGAAUAAGGAUAUAUUUGAAAACGAUAAGAUAUUUACAGGAAUAAAAAAAAAAAAAAAAAUUUUGUAAAGAUAUAUCUGCUAUGCUAUUCGAUAAAUUUACAAGAAGCUGUUCGUACUUAAUUUUAUUUUAAAAAUCAGUCCGAU